AGCAGUCGCCGCGGUAAAACGGAGGGUGCAAGCGUUAAUCGGAAUUACUGGGCGUAAAGCGCACGCAGGCGGUCUGACAAGUCAGAUGUGAAAUCCCCGGGCUUAACCUGGGAACUGCAUUUGAAACUGUCAGGCUGGAGUCUUGUAGAGGGGGGUAGAAUUCCAGGUGUAGCGGUGAAAUGCGUAGAGAUCUGGAGGAAUACCGGUGGCGAAGGCGGCCCCCUGGACAAAGACUGACGCUCAGGUGCGAAAGCGUGGGGAGCAAACAGGAUUAGAUACCCCUGUAGUCCCUGUCUCUUAUAC
RNAcentral lists this ribosomal RNA (303 nucleotides) under uncultured bacterium. Its description in RNAcentral is "partial 16S ribosomal RNA". It matches the Rfam family "Bacterial small subunit ribosomal RNA", at positions 507 to 807 of the family's 1533-position model. The record is from RNAcentral.